UACAGAGGUCCCAAGCGUUGUUCGGAUUCACUGGGCGUAAAGGGUGCGUAGGUGGCGAGGUAAGUCGGAUGUGAAAGCUCGGAGCUCAACUCCGAAAUGGCAUUGGAAACUACCUUGCUUGAGGGUUGGAGGGGGGACUGGAAUUUACGGUGUAGCGGUGAAAUGCGUAGAUAUCGUAAGGAAGACCAGUGGCGAAGGCGGGUCUCUGGACAGUUCCUGACGCUGAGGCACGAAGGUCAGGGGAGCAAACAGG
Molecule: ribosomal RNA, 253 nt
Filed under: uncultured bacterium
Lineage: Bacteria
Description: partial 16S ribosomal RNA
Rfam family: Bacterial small subunit ribosomal RNA
Source: RNAcentral